RNAcentral lists this ribosomal RNA (497 nucleotides) under uncultured bacterium. RNAcentral describes it as "partial 16S ribosomal RNA". It matches the Rfam family "Bacterial small subunit ribosomal RNA", at positions 28 to 507 of the family's 1533-position model. The record is from RNAcentral.
GAUGAACGCUGGCGGCGUGCCUAACACAUGCAAGUCGAACGAAAAGACGCGGAGCUUGUUCCUCUGACGUUAGCGGCGGACGGGUGUGUAACGCGUGGAUACCCCACCUAUAUUUCUGGGAUCACUUCGGGAAACCGGAGCAAAUACCGUAUGAUCUAUUGCACCGUAUGGUGCAAUAGUGAAUGUCGGCUUUUCUGUCUCUUCUCGCUGCUUACGCGCUGCAUUAGCUAGUUGGUCAGGUAACGGCUUACCAAGGCAACGAUGCGUAGCCGACCUGAGAGGGUGAUCGGCCACACUGGAACUGAGACGCGGUCCAGACUCCUACGGGAGGCAGCAGUAGGGAAUCUGCCGCAAUGGGCGAAAGCCUGACGGAGCAACGCCGCGUGAGUGAUGAAGGUCUUCGGAUCGUAAAACUCUGUUAUUAGGGAAGAACAAAUGUGUAAGUAACUAUGCACUUCUUGACGGUACCUAAUCAGAAAGCCACGGCUAACUACGUG